GCCAGUGUAGUGUAGUGGCUUGAACAUUGGACUAUGAACCUGGAGACCAGGGUUUAAAUCACUGCUCAGCCA
RNAcentral lists this transfer RNA (72 nucleotides) under Phrynosoma platyrhinos (Desert horned lizard). Its description in RNAcentral is "tRNA-OTHER". The record is from RNAcentral. Lineage: Eukaryota; Metazoa; Chordata; Lepidosauria; Squamata; Phrynosomatidae.